GGGUCCGUGGGGUAGCUUGGUAUAGUUGCGGGGACCGUCUUGCGGUCUCCCCACCUACAAGAAAUCCUACCAGCUUGGGGUGCUGGCGACUCCGGUUCAAAUCCGGGCGGACCCA
Molecule: transfer RNA, 115 nt
Filed under: Thermoplasmata archaeon
Lineage: Archaea; Methanobacteriati; Thermoplasmatota; Thermoplasmata
Description: tRNA-Pro
Source: RNAcentral